AUGCCAUCUAGACCCCACUUUGUUUCCCUCUGGGAAUGCAGAAAGACGGCAUUUCUCAGACCUCCUUGUAAUCAGUGGGUCGUGAGGCCAUUAGAAUGAAGUGAAGUGACAUUCAGGCUUAGACUGUAUAAAAAUCUUCCAGGCCUGACCCUAACGGAAGCUCAGAUGCAGAGGAUCCCAUAGAAGACUCCAAGGCCCUUUGUGAUGUAAGAGGCAUGGAAUAGAAAGAGUGUAAAUGAUCCUUUCACCUCCACUGACCUGCAAUAAAAUAUGACAUGAAACAACCAAGAUUUGAUGACAAUCAAAAUGGCAACUGGAAUAUAAUCCCUGUUUUCCCAGGUCACUUGUAGGAGAAGGGCUAUUCUGAGGAGGAGGAAGUUACAGGGACAAUCAAGUGUGUAGGAGGAACCGGAGAGGAGACCAGCUUGCUGGUUAGCACUGCAGAUGCAACAGCAGAGACUCUAGAUGCUUCUUGUGGCCCCAGCAACAGCAUCCCUGAAGGAGAGAGGAGCCAGAACCAGCUCCUCCUGACAGCGACCGACAGUUCUGGUGACUGGGAAAUUCAAGAUCAGAUGAGAUGCCAGAAGAUUUGGUGUCUGCUGAGAACCUACUUCCUGGUUCCCAGACAGCUGUCCUCUUGCCGUGCCCUCACACAAAGCAAAGCUAUGUCCUGAAUGGCUAGCUACACCCAAGAGUUACAAGGAGCACUCUCCAUAGAAGACCUGGUAUCUUUUCCUCAUAAUUACUGGAAGAUGCUACAAUAACAGAAGCUAGCAGAGAAAGUUAAGUCAAAGACAAAAACACAACCAAGAAUCACCAAAUAGUUAAGCAAAAAUCACACCCUGAAACAUAAGCAUAAAUCCAAAUACACAGAACUAACUCCUGAGGAAAUAAAAUAAAUACAACAAACUGAGAGUGAUUUUUCUUUCUUUUUUUUUUUUUAAUGUUUAUUUUUGGGAGAAAGAGAGAGACAGAGCAUGAGCAGGGGAGGGGCAAAGAGGAAGGGAGACAUAGAAUCUGAAGAAGGCUCCAGGCUCUGAGCUGUCAGCACAGAGCCCAACUUGGGGCUCGAACUCAUGAACCAUGAGAUCAUGACCUGAGCUGAAGUUAGACACUGAACCAAGUGAGCCACCCAGGUGCCCCGAGAGUGAUUUUUAAAGUAUAAUUAAUAUCUUUAGAAGCGUUAAUAAAAAAAGAUACCAUAUUCUUGUAGCAAAAUAGGCUGGUGCAAAAAUUUAUAAGACUAGUUAUGAUUUAAAAUUCUGUAACUGAAAUAAAACUCAGUAGAUGAACUGAGUAGACACACCUGAAGGACAGAGACAGCUGAAGAACAAAUUAGUGAACUAGAGCACAAAUCAAAAGGUCAAAGUGAUGAAAACUGGGGGGAAAUGAAGAAUGAGAGAGUGGAGACAGCUAGUAUGAAUGACUUAUAAAUAAAAUGAGUAUGAAUGGGAGAAGAGAGAUAGGAGGGAGAGAGAGUAACAUGGAAUACUGAAAGAUACAGAUUAAGCAAUGCUGGAUGAUGGAGGAGAACCAUUAAGUUAAGCAUGGCAGUGAGGUCCCUGCUGGAGGGAUCAUCAAAAAAAGAGUAACAAAUGAUACAUAAUAAUAAAUAAUAAAAAAAGACAUGUGUUUUAUAGUACCAGGAGAGAAAGUGGGGGUAAAGAUAGUGGAUGUGAAGUUUGUAAAUUGGUGUCAGGAAGUUGACCAAGCUAACAUUUGCCACCUUAUUUUUUGUUUGACAUAGUGAGGUGAGUUUUUCUUUCACCCAUCCCUAUUUCCUGGAAGCUGAAAGCUUCUACACCUAGGUGAUAGAAUGCGGGCUGUCUGUGCUGGGCAGAGGACAGGCUUUUAAUGUAAGAUAUAAAAGGAAAGGGAUAUGUUGAUAGGAAAUAAACAUCUAUAAUAUAAAGUGUCAGAUCUUUUUAAAAUUUAUAUUCUACUUUCCAGCCAGACUAGCACUUUUACCCUCCUCUAUCUUCUGGACCUGUCCAGCACAGAAAUCUUGGGGAACAGAAAAGGAGACCUAUUUCAGGAGCACCCACAACAGAGUAGGUUGGGAUUAGGAUGAAAGAGAAGUAGUUAAGAGGAUCAAGGACCAUGGGAAUAGCUCAAGGAGAGUCCAGGAUGCCUGGGUGGCUCAGUCGGUUAAGCAUCCAACCCUUGAUUUUGGCUCAGGUUAUGAUCUCACAGUUCAUGGGUUCGAGCCCUGUGUCAGGCUCCAAGCUGACAGUGCAGUGCCUACUUGGGAU
Panthera uncia (snow leopard) is the source of this 2252-nucleotide long non-coding RNA. RefSeq lists it as uncharacterized. The transcript has 4 exons. The record is from RefSeq and is a predicted model, not a curated record. Lineage: Eukaryota; Metazoa; Chordata; Mammalia; Carnivora; Felidae.